Molecule: ribosomal RNA, 339 nt
Filed under: Triticum aestivum (bread wheat)
Lineage: Eukaryota; Viridiplantae; Streptophyta; Magnoliopsida; Poales; Poaceae
Description: partial small subunit ribosomal RNA
Source: RNAcentral
GGCUUCCUGGGCGACCCUCGGUCGUGGCACCGGGCCUCGAUGGAGUGCGGCAGGCUGCUGGCGGCGGACCGGGUGACGCAGGGCGCGAUGGCGCUGCGCGGGGACCCGUCGACGCCCAACUUCCUGCUGCUCCCGCCGAUCUUCUUGUUCCCGGCACUCGAGCGACUCAACCUCUCGUUGGCCUCGCUGUGGGGCCAACCGCUGCUCUCCUCGGCCUCGCGAAUUGCAGGGGCGCCCGCCUCCUCCUCCUCCAACCACCUCCCGCUCCAUCGGAAGAGAUCGCCGAGCGGAACGCCUUCAUUGCCGCGCACCUCGCCGCCUACUCCCCGCCAUGUCUGA